UCAGGAAAAAGGAAGGAAGAGAUGAGGAUGUGUGUAUUAUAUCUUGAAAUUGAUAACAGGAAGCCAGAUAGGAAAGGCUGGGGAAGGUUCUAGGCAUAAAUUCUAUGCGGCGAAGUAGCAAGGAAAAGACAGAAUAAUGUUAGAGAAAGGAUGCUUCUCCUUAUUCUAAUCAAGUCCUUUUUUUCAGUUAAACCCACAUGACAUCCAGGUCUCCAGCUAUGGAUACUACUGGCUAGCUGUGAGAACAGGAAUGUGAGGCCCAGGAGGAGGAAGAAGAAGGUUUGAGGGGCCAUUGCUGCAGCUUUCCUCAGUGGUGCAAAAUAAUCAUAAUGGAAUUUACCUAUCCUAGAUGAAGCAUUAGGAAUCCUGGGGGAGAGCAGCCGGAGCUCCCAGCAAGACCUGUAGAAGGUUACAAAAGGUGAUGCUGACGCUCCUGCUCCUGACUCAGGGAGACUUCAAGCAGAAGUAGGAGCCUACAUCACAUCUUCCUGCGGAGACUGAGGCAUGAUGUUGCCAGCAAGGACAAGAGAAGAGUCCUUUUCACACUUUACCAAGAGUUCUGAUACAUCUGAUUAUUGUAUGCAUUGUGUACUGUGGUGUAUUUAAAACUGUGUUACAAUUGUAAGCUGUCACUUUAAAUUUUAAUAUUUUUUCCCCUGGUCCUGGUUUCAAGCUAUGGGGCUCUGCAGGGAAGUGGGCAGUAGUCAGUUUGCAGCCAGCCAGCCAGUCUAGAGUAAAGUGGUGUGAGUUGUGCCUGGGGGAGCAACCUGCUUUUUCUCUCUCUCUGUUUCUGUACUUGUAUGCUAUUGUUCUGAAUUUGAAGAAAUAAAGUAGUUUUACAUUGCCACCUUCCAGCAGAGUAUU
Molecule: long non-coding RNA, 864 nt
Organism: Dermochelys coriacea (leatherback sea turtle)
Lineage: Eukaryota; Metazoa; Chordata; Testudines; Dermochelyidae
Exons: 3
Source: RefSeq, a predicted model, not a curated record